This 1475-nucleotide ribosomal RNA is filed under the name uncultured Bordetella sp. RNAcentral's name for it is "partial 16S-23S ribosomal RNA intergenic spacer". It matches the Rfam family "Bacterial small subunit ribosomal RNA". Lineage: Bacteria; Pseudomonadati; Pseudomonadota; Betaproteobacteria; Burkholderiales; Alcaligenaceae. The record is from RNAcentral.
GGUUUGAUCCUGGCUCAGAUUGAACGCUGGCGGGAUGCUUUACACAUGCAAGUCGAACGGCAGCACGGACUUCGGUCUGGUGGCGAGUGGCGAACGGGUGAGUAAUGUAUCGGAACGUGCCUAGUAGCGGGGAUAACUACGCGAAAGCGUAGCUAACCGCCACGCCCUUCGAGGGAAAGCAGGGGACCUUCGGGCCUCGCACUAUUAGAGCGGCCGAUAUCGUUGACUAGUUUGGUGGGGUAACGGCUCACCAAGGCGACGAUCCGUAGCUGGUUUGAAGGACGACCAGCCACACUGGGACUGAGACACGGCCCAAGACUCCUACGGGAGGCAGCAGUGGGGAAUUUUGGACAAUGGGGAAACCCUGAUCCAGCCAUCCCGCGUGUGCGAUGAAGGUAUUCGGGUUGUAAAGCACUUUUGGCAGGAAAGAAAUGGCACGGGAUAAUACCCCGUGCAACUGACCGGUACCUACAGAAUAGGCACCGGCUAACUACGUGCCAGCAGCCGCGGUAAUACGUAGGGUGCAAGCGUUAAUCGGAAUUACUGGGCGUAAAAGCGUGCGCAGGCGGUUCCGGAAAGGAAGAUGUGAAAUCCCAGGCUUAACUUUGGAACUGCAUUUUAACUACCGAGCUAAAAUUGUCAGAGGAGGUGGAAUUCCGCGUGUAGCAGUGAAAUGCGUAGAUAUGCGGAGGAACACCGAUGGCGAAGGCAGCCUCCUGGGAUAACACUGACGCUCAUGCACGAAAGCGUGGGGAGCAAACGAGAUUAGAUACCCUGGUAGUCCACGCCCUAAACGAUGUCAACUAGCUGUUGGGGCCUUCCGGGCCUUGGUAAGCGCAACUAACGCGUGAAGUUGACCGCCUGGGGAGUACGGUCGCAGAUUAAAACUCAAAGGAAUUGACGGGGACCCGCACAAGCGGUGGAUGAUGUGGAUUAAUUCGAUGCAACGCGAAAAACCUUACCUACCCUUGACAUGUCUGGAAUCCCGAAGAGAUUUGGGAGUGCUCGCAAGAGAACCGGAACACAGGUGCUGCAUGGCUGUCGUCAGCUCGUGUCGUGAGAUGUUGGGGUUAAGUCCCGCAACAAACGCAACCCUUGUCAUUAGUUGCUACGAAAGAGGCACUCCUAAUGAGACUGCCGGUGACAAACCGGAGGAAGGUGGGGAUGACGUCAGAUCCUCAUGGCCCUUAUGGGUAGGGCUUCACACGUCAUACAAUGGUCGGGACAGAGGGUCGCCAACCCGAGGGGAGCCAAUCCCAGAAACCCGAUCGUAGUCGGAUCGCAGUCUGUAAACUCGACUGCGUGAAGUCGGAAUCGCUAGUAAUCGCGGAUCAGCAUGUCGCGGUGAAUACGUUCCCGGGUCUUGUACACACCGUAAUCACCAUGGGAGUGGGUUUUACCAGAAGUAGUUAGCCUAACCGUAAAGGGCGAUUACCACGGUAGGAUUCUUACAGGGUGAAGUCGUAACAAGGUAG